UGGGGAAUAUUGGACAAUGGGCGAAAGCCUGAUCCAGCCAUGCCGCGUGUGUGAAGAAGGUCUUCGGAUUGUAAAGCACUUUAAGUUGGGAGGAAGGGCAGUAAGCGAAUACCUUGCUGUUUUGACGUUACCGACAGAAUAAGCACCGGCUAACUCUGUGCCAGCAGCCGCGGUAAUACAGAGGGUGCAAGCGUUAAUCGGAAUUACUGGGCGUAAAGCGCGCGUAGGUGGUUCGUUAAGUUGAAUGUGAAAGCCCCGGGCUCAACCUGGGAACUGCAUCCAAAACUGGCGAGCUAGAGUAGGGCAGAGGGUGGUGGAAUUUCCUGUGUAGCGGUGAAAUGCGUAGAUAUAGGAAGGAACACCAGUGGCGAAGGCGACCACCUGGGCUCAUACUGACACUGAGGUGCGAAAGCGAGGGGAGCAAACAGG
RNAcentral lists this ribosomal RNA (429 nucleotides) under Pseudomonadota bacterium. Its description in RNAcentral is "Proteobacteria bacterium partial 16S ribosomal RNA". It matches the Rfam family "Bacterial small subunit ribosomal RNA", at positions 355 to 776 of the family's 1533-position model. The record is from RNAcentral. Lineage: Bacteria; Pseudomonadati; Pseudomonadota.